UGGUUAGAGCGCCAGAUUGUGGCUCUGGAGGUCGUGAGUUCGUCUCUCAUUAUCCACCCCA
RNAcentral lists this transfer RNA (61 nucleotides) under Clostridioides difficile CD17. RNAcentral describes it as "partial tRNA-Thr". It matches the Rfam family "tRNA", at positions 16 to 71 of the family's 71-position model. From Rfam's summary of the family: Transfer RNA (tRNA) molecules are approximately 80 nucleotides in length. The record is from RNAcentral. Lineage: Bacteria; Bacillati; Bacillota; Clostridia; Peptostreptococcales; Peptostreptococcaceae.